GAGUUUGAUCCUGGCUCAGGAUGAACGCUAGCGGCAGGCUUAAUACAUGCAAGUCGAGGGGCAGCGCGGGUAGCAAUACCUGGCGGCGACCGGCAAACGGGUGCGGAACACGUACGCAACUUACCCAAAACUGGGGAAUAGCCCGGGGAAACCCGGAUUAAUACCUCGUAACAUAAUUGAAUGGCAUCAUUUGAUUAUUAUAGCUCCGGCGGUUUUGGAUGGGCGUGCGCCUGAUUAGGUAGUUGGCGGGGUAACGGCCCACCAAGCCUACGAUCAGUAACUGGUGUGAGAGCACGACCAGUCACACGGGCACUGAGACACGGGCCCGACUCCUACGGGAGGCAGCAGUAAGGAAUAUUGGUCAAUGGACGCAAGUCUGAACCAGCCAUGCCGCGUGAAGGAUGAAGGUCCUCUGGAUUGUAAACUUCUUUUAUAUGGGAAGAAAUUCCCGCAUUCUUGCGGGAUUGACGGUACCAUAGGAAUAAGCACCGGCUAACUCCGUGCCAGCAGCCGCGGUAAUACGGAGGGUGCAAGCGUUAUCCGGAUUCACUGGGUUUAAAGGGUGCGUAGGAGGGCAGGUAAGUCAGUGGUGAAAUCUCCAAGCUUAACUUGGAAACUGCCGUUGAUACUAUCUGUCUUGAAUACCGUGGAGGUGAGCGGAAUAUGUCAUGUAGCGGUGAAAUGCUUAGAUAUGACAUAGAACACCAAUUGCGAAGGCAGCUCGCUACACGAAUAUUGACUCUGAG
RNAcentral lists this ribosomal RNA (746 nucleotides) under uncultured bacterium. RNAcentral describes it as "bacterial SSU rRNA". It matches the Rfam family "Bacterial small subunit ribosomal RNA", at positions 9 to 750 of the family's 1533-position model. The record is from RNAcentral.